GAUGAACGCUGGCGGCGUGCCUAAUACAUGCAAGUCGAGCGAACGGACGAGAAGCUUGCUUCUUUGUUGUUAGCGGCGGACGUGUGAGUAACACGUGGAUAACCUCCCUAUAAGACUGGGAUAACUUCGGGACACCGUAGCUAAUCCUGGAUAAUAUUUUGAACCGCAUGGUUCAAAAGUGAAAGACGGUCUUGCUGUCACUUAUAGAUGGAUCCGCGCUGCAUUAGCUAGUUGGUAAGGUAACGGCUUACCAAGGCAACGAUGCCUAGCCGACCUGAGAGAGUGAUCGGCCACACUGGAACUGAGACACGGUUCAGACUCCUGCGGGAGGCAGCAGUAGGGAAUCUUCCGCAAUGGGCGAAAACCUGACGGAGCAACGCCGCGUGAGUGAUGAAGGUCUUCGGAUCGUAAAACUCUGUUAUUAGGGAAGAACAUAUGUGUAAGUAACUGUGCACAUCUUGACGGUACCUAAUCAGAAAGCCACGGCUAACUACGUG
Molecule: ribosomal RNA, 497 nt
Filed under: uncultured bacterium
Lineage: Bacteria
Description: partial 16S ribosomal RNA
Rfam family: Bacterial small subunit ribosomal RNA
Source: RNAcentral